Molecule: long non-coding RNA, 282 nt
Filed under: Elaeis guineensis (African oil palm)
Lineage: Eukaryota; Viridiplantae; Streptophyta; Magnoliopsida; Arecales; Arecaceae
Description: long non-coding RNA (EGUI_LNC067618)
Source: RNAcentral
UCAUAAAAUUUAAUUAAUUAGUCAAUUUAUUAGAAGUCCAUCAAUAAGAAAUCCUAAAAAACCUAAACAGAUCAAGAGAGAGAAAUAACCCAACUAGGGGUACGACUACAAUGGCUUCAUACUUGAAUCAAGAUAAAUCAAGGAUAUGCCAAUCAAAUGGCGAAGCCUAACGACCCAAAAUCAAUCAGUUUGAGUAAUUUUAUAUCAUCAAAGAUCAAAAUAGGAUACAAGUCGAACAUCACAAUUGAGGAUGACCAAAUGUACUAGGAUCUCACAACAGCC